GUACUCGCUUUGGCAGCACAUAUAUUAAAAUUGGAAAGAUACAGAGAAGAUUAGCAUGGCCCCUGCUCAAGGAUGACAUGCAAAUUCAUGAAGCAUUCCAUAUUUUU
This 107-nucleotide small nuclear RNA is filed under the name Theropithecus gelada (gelada). The record is from RNAcentral. Lineage: Eukaryota; Metazoa; Chordata; Mammalia; Primates; Cercopithecidae.